UUCGGGGGCAACGGUGACAGGUGGUGCAUGGUUGUCGUCAGCUCGUGUCGUGAGAUGUUGGGUUAAGUCCCGCAACGAGCGCAACCCUUGAUCUUAGUUGCCAUCAUUUAGUUGGGCACUCUAAGGUGACUGCCGGUGACAAACCGGAGGAAGGUGGGGAUGACGUCAAAUCAUCAUGCCCCUUAUGACCUGGGCUACACACGUGCUACAAUGGACGAUACAAACGGUUGCCAACUCGCGAGAGGGAGCUAAUCCGAUAAAGUCGUUCUCAGUUCGGAUUGUAGGCUGCAACUCGCCUACAUGAAGCCGGAAUCGCUAGUAAUCGCGGAUCAGCAUGCCGCGGUGAAUACGUUCCCGGGUCUUGUACACACCGA
RNAcentral lists this ribosomal RNA (374 nucleotides) under Lysinibacillus sp. Expt1_P1_G10. Its description in RNAcentral is "bacterial SSU rRNA". It matches the Rfam family "Bacterial small subunit ribosomal RNA", at positions 1018 to 1393 of the family's 1533-position model. Lineage: Bacteria; Bacillati; Bacillota; Bacilli; Caryophanales; Bacillaceae. The record is from RNAcentral.